UACGUAGGGGGCAAGCGUUGUCCGGAUUUAUUGGGCGUAAAGAGCGUGUAGGCGGCCAGACAGGUCUGCUGUGAAAACUCGAGGCUCAACCUCGAGACGCCGGUGGAAACCGUCUGGCUAGAGUCCGGAAGAGGAGAGUGGAAUUCCCAGUGUAGAGGUGAAAUUCGUAGAUAUUGGGAAGAACACCGGUGGCGAAGGCGGCUCUCUGGACCGAUACUGACGCUGAGGCGCGAAAGCGUGGGGAGCAAACAGG
RNAcentral lists this ribosomal RNA (253 nucleotides) under uncultured bacterium. RNAcentral describes it as "partial 16S ribosomal RNA". It matches the Rfam family "Bacterial small subunit ribosomal RNA", at positions 524 to 776 of the family's 1533-position model. The record is from RNAcentral.